GCUGGGAUAGCUCAGUUGGCAGAGCAUGAGACUCUUAAUCUCAAAAUCGUGGGUUCAAGCCCCACACUGGGCA
Molecule: transfer RNA, 73 nt
Filed under: Podarcis lilfordi (Lilford's wall lizard)
Lineage: Eukaryota; Metazoa; Chordata; Lepidosauria; Squamata; Lacertidae
Rfam family: tRNA
About the family: Transfer RNA (tRNA) molecules are approximately 80 nucleotides in length.
Source: Rfam by way of RNAcentral